CAGAUGUUCAAGUCCCUAAAACGGGGCCCCCGGGCUGUGCUCAUCAGUGCUUUGGGUGGCCUCGGACUCCCCAGGCUCAGCGGCCAUGCCAGGGGCACCAGCUGGAUUGUCCAGCCCGGUGGCUCGCACAUCCCAGGGGCACAGUUAGGGGUUGGGGGCCAAGGCUGUUGAAAGCGAGCACCAGUCCACGGGGGUGUGGCCUCAGAAACACGGGCUGCAGCCCGGAGAAGGGCUGGCCGGGCAGGGGACAGGGUCCAUGGGGGGCAGGGGCUGGGGAGCCAGCUGCCCCAGGCAGGCCCUAUUCCCAGGCCGCAGCUGCCGGCUAGACCCUAGGCCCAGUGGGGUGCAGCUUGUCGGGUGCUGCUGAGGGCUGUGGGUGGUGCCCAGCUGCGUGCCCAUUGGCCCCAUGCCCAGGGUGCUUAGCCCAUGCCAUGGUCCUGCUGGCUCAGGUGACCCAGGGCUCCCAGCUUUUCUCAUCUGACGCUCAGGCACCAGGUGGGGAAGGCCCUGGCCUGCCACACCUGCCCUGGGAGCGAAGUGCUAGGCUUCCACUUUUUUUCUUUCGCUGUGAACACGAAUGGCUUCAAGCGACUAGAAAAGAGUUAUUUUAAAGCACGGUUAGACGUCCCCGUCGGCUAAGAUGGAGCAACUGGGACCAGAGGUACCACCUGCUUGAGCAGAAGCAGCAGAAACAAGAGGACACAAGGUGUCGAAGCCACUGGACACGCGGCAGCUGAGAACAGUGCCUCGGAGACCCGGGACACCAGGGAACUCGGCCCGGGACGGGGCGGAGCAGAAGAGGCCUCCUGCUCCAUGGUCUCGGUUGGUGCCAUGUCGCCGGGGGUGUGUGAGAUGACCAAGCUGUGUGUCAUAACCCCCAAGGCAGCAGGUCACGAAUCACAUGAAAUAUAAAUGGUCUAAAUGCUCCAACUGAAAACCAAAGGUUGUCAGAUUGGAAAAACACCAAGACCCAAUGAUGUGAUUCCCCCAAGAAAUCCACUUUAAAUACAAAGACUUAAGAACAGGUUUUAAAAAACACAAAACUGGAAAAAGUUAAAGCAGGCUACCCCUGAUCACAGAGAGCUGGCGUGACCACACUAACAUCCAAGCAGAAGCACCUCAGGCCUCGGCGGCGAGACAGGCGCGUGGGCUGGGGCACAGCCACCAGGCUGCGGGAGGAGCGGAGGCUUACACACCCCCACGUGUGGUGA
This 1211-nucleotide long non-coding RNA is filed under the name Sus scrofa (pig). RNAcentral's name for it is "lncRNA (ENSSSCG00070009663.1)". Lineage: Eukaryota; Metazoa; Chordata; Mammalia; Artiodactyla; Suidae. The record is from RNAcentral.